UACGUAGGGUGCUAGCGUUGUCCGGAUUUAUUGGGCGUAAAGGGCUCGUAGGCGGCGUGUCGCGUCGGGAGUGAAAGCCCGCUGCUUAACGGCGGGUUGGCUUCCGGUACGGGCAUCGCUGGAGUGCGGCAGGGGAGACUGGAAUUCCUGGUGUAGCGGUGGAAUGCGCAGAUAUCAGGAAGAACACCCGUGGCUAAGGCGGUUCUCUAGUACGGUACUGACGCUGAGACGCGAAAGCGUGGGGAGCGAGCAGG
RNAcentral lists this ribosomal RNA (254 nucleotides) under uncultured bacterium. Its description in RNAcentral is "partial 16S ribosomal RNA". It matches the Rfam family "Bacterial small subunit ribosomal RNA", at positions 524 to 776 of the family's 1533-position model. The record is from RNAcentral.